This 1364-nucleotide ribosomal RNA is filed under the name Staphylococcus aureus. Its description in RNAcentral is "partial 23S ribosomal RNA". It matches the Rfam family "Bacterial large subunit ribosomal RNA", at positions 1418 to 2777 of the family's 2925-position model. The record is from RNAcentral. Lineage: Bacteria; Bacillati; Bacillota; Bacilli; Caryophanales; Staphylococcaceae.
AUGGAUAACAGGUUGAUAUUCCUGUACCACCUAUAAUCGUUUUAAUCGAUGGGGGGACGCAGUAGGAUAGGCGAAGCGUGCGAUUGGAUUGCACGUCUAAGCAGUAAGGCUGAGUAUUAGGCAAAUCCGGUACUCGUUAAGGCUGAGCUGUGAUGGGGAGAAGACAUUGUGUCUUCGAGUCGUUGAUUUCACACUGCCGAGAAAAGCCUCUAGAUAGAAAAUAGGUGCCCGUACCGCAAACCGACACAGGUAGUCAAGAUGAGAAUUCUAAGGUGAGCGAGCGAACUCUCGUUAAGGAACUCGGCAAAAUGACCCCGUAACUUCGGGAGAAGGGGUGCUCUUUAGGGUUAACGCCCAGAAGAGCCGCAGUGAAUAGGCCCAAGCGACUGUUUAUCAAAAACACAGGUCUCUGCUAAACCGUAAGGUGAUGUAUAGGGGCUGACGCCUGCCCGGUGCUGGAAGGUUAAGAGGAGUGGUUAGCUUCUGCGAAGCUACGAAUCGAAGCCCCAGUAAACGGCGGCCGUAACUAUAACGGUCCUAAGGUAGCGAAAUUCCUUGUCGGGUAAGUUCCGACCCGCACGAAAGGCGUAACGAUUUGGGCACUGUCUCAACGAGAGACUCGGUGAAAUCAUAGUACCUGUGAAGAUGCAGGUUACCCGCGACAGGACGGAAAGACCCCGUGGAGCUUUACUGUAGCCUGAUAUUGAAAUUCGGCACAGCUUGUACAGGAUAGGUAGGAGCCUUUGAAACGUGAGCGCUAGCUUACGUGGAGGCGCUGGUGGGAUACUACCCUAGCUGUGUUGGCUUUCUAACCCGCACCACUUAUCGUGGUGGGAGACAGUGUCAGGCGGGCAGUUUGACUGGGGCGGUCGCCUCCUAAAAGGUAACGGAGGCGCUCAAAGGUUCCCUCAGAAUGGUUGGAAAUCAUUCAUAGAGUGUAAAGGCAUAAGGGAGCUUGACUGCGAGACCUACAAGUCGAGCAGGGUCGAAAGACGGACUUAGUGAUCCGGUGGUUCCGCAUGGAAGGGCCAUCGCUCAACGGAUAAAAGCUACCCCGGGGAUAACAGGCUUAUCUCCCCCAAGAGUUCACAUCGACGGGGAGGUUUGGCACCUCGAUGUCGGCUCAUCGCAUCCUGGGGCUGUAGUCGGUCCCAAGGGUUGGGCUGUUCGCCCAUUAAAGCGGUACGCGAGCUGGGUUCAGAACGUCGUGAGACAGUUCGGUCCCUAUCCGUCGUGGGCGUAGGAAAUUUGAGAGGAGCUGUCCUUAGUACGAGAGGACCGGGAUGGACAUACCUCUGGUGUACCAGUUGUCGUGCCAACGGCAUAGCUGGGUAGCUAUGUGUGGACGGGAUAAGUGCUGAAAG